AUUGAACGCUGGCGGCAGGCUUAACACAUGCAAGUCGAGCGGGGUUAUACGGAAGCUUGCUUCUGUAUAACUUAGCGGCGGACGGGUGUGUAACGCGUGAGUAACCUGCCCGUAAGACGGGGAUAACACCGAGCAAUCUGUGCUAAUACCCGAUGAAGAAAUUUUGCUGCAUGGCAGGAUUUUGAAAGAUUUAUCGCUUACGGAUGGACUCGAGUUCGAUUAGAUAGUUGGCAGGGUAACGGCCUAACAAGUCGACGAUCGAUAGCCGAACUGAGAGGUUGAUCGGCCACAUUGGGACUGUGACACGGCCCAGACUCCUACGGGAGGCAGCAGUGGGGAAUAUUGCGCAAUGGGGGGAACCCUGACGCAGCAACGCCGCGUGAAGGAAGAAGGUCUUCGGAUUGUAAACUUUUGUCGCAAAGGAAGAAAGAAAUGACGGUACUUUGUGAGAAAGCCACGGCUAACUACGUGCCAGCCGCCGCGGUAA
RNAcentral lists this ribosomal RNA (487 nucleotides) under uncultured bacterium. RNAcentral describes it as "partial 16S ribosomal RNA". It matches the Rfam family "Bacterial small subunit ribosomal RNA", at positions 30 to 523 of the family's 1533-position model. The record is from RNAcentral.